Molecule: ribosomal RNA, 588 nt
Filed under: Triticum aestivum (bread wheat)
Lineage: Eukaryota; Viridiplantae; Streptophyta; Magnoliopsida; Poales; Poaceae
Description: partial small subunit ribosomal RNA
Source: RNAcentral
ACAGCUCACGAAUGCAAUAAGGCUUCCACUAAUCUUGUUUCUUGGAUACCCCCGGCCACUGGACAUGUAAAGCUAAAUACAGAUGGAUCUGUUUUGAAUGGAGUUGGAGGAACAGGUAUGCUGCUCCGUGACCACACCGGCACCAUCAUCUUCAGCUCUUGUAGACACCUUUUUUCUUGUGAUGAUAUUUUGGAGGCUGAGAUCUUAGCAAUCCGGGAGGGACUCAUGCUCGCUCUACAGUGGAGCAGUCUACCAAUUUAUAUUGAAAGCGACAGUUUGAAAGCAGUGAACAUGGUGAAAAGUGGAGAUACAAAUAGAUCAAAAUAUGCCUUUCUUAUUAGAGAGAUUAAAGAUAAUAACCGGAAACAACAAAGUGUGCAUGGUGAGCUCAGCAUAAACCCGGGCCUUUUUGCUAGGCCUCUCCGUCUGCCUCUCCCUGCCCACAAAUCAAAGAAGUGCACAAUACCACCAUCUACUACCAUGAUUUUUGGCUUUAUGCACAAUACCACCAUACCGAAUUGGCAUGUCCGUGUCACCUCAGGACUGCCAGUGUGCCCCUAUGUCUCACAUUCAGCGAGAUGGGAAUAA